GUGGAGCUGAGGGUGGAAGGGGAGUGAGCUGACGCUCGGAAGGUGUCUUGAGAUUAUCAUCCGCUGAGGGUGGAAGCGGCCCCCGCAGACGCUCGGCAGGUGUCUUGAGAUUAUCAUCUGCUGAGGGUGGAAGCGGCCCCCGCAGACGCUCGGCAGGUGUCUUGAUAUUAUCAUCUGCUGAGGGUGGAGCUGAGGGUGGAAGGGGAGUGAGCUGACGCUCGGAAGGUGUCUUGAGAUUAUCAUCCGCUGAGGGUGGAAGCGGCCCCCGCAGACGCUCGGCAGGUGUCUUGAGAUUAUCAUCUGCUGAGGGUGGAAGCGGCCCCCGCAGACGCUCGGCAGGUGUCUUGAUAUUAUCAUCUGCUGAGGGUGGAGCUGAGGGUGGAAGGGGAGUGAGCUGACGCUCGGAAGGUGUCUUGAGAUUAUCAUCCGCUCAGGGUGGAAGCGGCCCCCGCAGACGCUCGGCAGGUGUCUUGAUAUUAUCAUCUGCUGAGGGUGGAAGGGCAGUGAGCUGACGCUCGGAAGGUGUCUUGAGAUUAUCAUCCGCUGAGGGUGGAAGGGGAUGGAGCAGACACUCGGCACGUGUCUUGAGAUUAUCAUCCGCUGAGGGUGGAGCUGAGGGUAGAGCUGAGGGUGGAAGGGGAGUGAGCAGACACUCGGGAGGUGUCUUGAGAUUAUCAUCCGCUGAGGGUGGAAGGGGAGUGAGCAGACACUCAGGAGGUGUCUUGAGAUUAUCAUCCGCUGAGGGUGGAAGGGGAGUGAGCACACACUCGGGAGGUGUCUUGAGAUUAUCAUCCGCUGAGGGUGGAAGGGGAGUGAGCAGACACUCGGGAGGUGUCUUGAGGCUCAGGGAGUUAUCAGUUAUAGAAUGUUGUUGAGUUGGAGGAGGUGGCUGGUGGCCCAUCCUGU
RNAcentral lists this long non-coding RNA (906 nucleotides) under Homo sapiens (human). RNAcentral describes it as "HSALNT0384964". Lineage: Eukaryota; Metazoa; Chordata; Mammalia; Primates; Hominidae. The record is from RNAcentral.